GUAGGAACUUAUUUUCAUUGAUGAUCUUCUGUUCGCUUGGUUGGCAUUGAAGGACGAUACAUUUCAAUCAAAAGAGUGCAUGGCAAGGCUGAUGUUGUUAGUUUCCAAGUUGAUGCAUCUAUGGAUUUAGUACUUCAGGUUGAAGGUAGCAACAAGAAGGGGAAAAAUAUCACUCAAGGGUGUGUUAAGGUAACAAUACCCUCCUAAUGUCUUUGUUGUAAGUUGGUUAUGUGUUCAACUUUGGAAAGAUGAAAUUUGUUAAUGGAAAAGGAGGCUGCCAAGGUAAAGAGCAGCACACCCUCAUAGGCUGCCAAAUGCCAAGAGUCAACAACAACAAAAAAAAUAAACAAGGAAAAGAGACAAACAAAUAUCUCCACUGAAAUGAUGAUACCAUUACUCUUUUCUAGUAAUACGAGAAAGACAAUAUAUACAUGUUAAACUACAUUGACAAUUCAGAUUUGAUCUUUUUACUUUAAACAAGAA
Long non-coding RNA from Gossypium raimondii (Peruvian cotton), 483 nucleotides. RefSeq lists it as uncharacterized. Lineage: Eukaryota; Viridiplantae; Streptophyta; Magnoliopsida; Malvales; Malvaceae. The transcript has 2 exons. The record is from RefSeq and is a predicted model, not a curated record.